CACACACACACACACACGUGUACACCUGUUUUGAUAACCUUGAACUCCCUCUUCUCCUGUCUCCACCUUCCAAGUCUCAGAAUUACAGGUUCGUGCCACUAUGAUAAACUCAAGGCCAUCAUUUUCCCAGUUAAAAAUUGACCCAAGCCUCCCCUUGCUUUUCAGACCUAGAGACCAGGACAAAUAAGAGUCCUAGGAGGCCAGCCCUGAACAGUUGGACACCUGAAGUGAAGUUCUUUUUUUUUCUUAGAUAAUUUUGAAGCCACAGGAAUAUAUAUGGUUCAAAUGUCUGACCAGAGCAUGAGAAACAACUUUAAAAUGAAGACCAAGCUUAAGGGAGCUUCAAGGACUCCCUGAAACUAAGCCAGUGAUUCUUCAUCUGCUGGUUGAGACCCCACAGGGGUUGAAUAUCAGAUAUUUACAUUACAAUUCCUAACAGUAGCAAAAUUCAAGUUAUGAAUUCAAGUAUCAUAACUUGAAUUAUCAACAAGAUAAUUUUAUGGCUGGGGGUCACCACAGCAUGAAGAACUGUGUUAAAGGGUCACAGCAUUAGGAAGGUUGGGAACCACUGGACUAAGCUGAGGGCUGCAGUGAGGAGGAUGUCAAGAGAAACAGCUGUGGAGACCUAUGUGAAGUCCAGCCAGCAGAGGAUUGUGGGUAAAACCAAGGUAGGGUGCUCAAUGCUGACUGCACCCUCCUGGGGCUCCAGCCAUGUACCCUAGUCAACUAUGGACUAGGAGGAGUUGAGAGCUAGGAACAACCAGAGGAAUUGCUGAGUGCUGCACAUUCUAGGGUACGGGGAGGACCAUGGGUUCAGGAUGUACAAGAAUAUAGUUCAUUUGCUCACUUGUUGAGGCUGACUGUAUGGAAAUGAUGGCCACAGCGAGGGGAGGUGGGAUGAUGGUGAUGGCAGUAGGUUCACAGGAGAUCUACAGAUUGAAUGUUUCCUCCCACAGAACCAAACUCUGACCUGUGCUGGGCAAACACUUCUCUGACCACAGAGGGUGAGGUGCAGUAUAAGUAACAUUUCCACCACAUCCUGGGUGGUGAAGGAUUGUGACGUCAUGUAGCUUGGAUGCUUCUAAGGAAAAAAAAAAGUUAAUCAGUAAGGGGUCCAAGCUAAAGACACCAGAAUGAUGAACUCAGCCUAUAGCCCCAGCAUUCCAGAGGCACAGGCAGGAGACCCACAUGUUUGAGCAAGUUUGAGGCCAGCCUGGGGUACAGCGCAAGACCGUCUCAAAACAAGAAAAAGAGCGAUGAGCUCAGCCUUUAAGUAAUCGUUUAAUUCGUGAAAGCAGUCAGUUGCUUAUCAUAAGCUGCUGUGGGUUUUUGACUCUGCCUUAUACUUAUGAAUCUGCGUUAGAUAUGGGACACAAAUAUUUUUUUUGGGGAAAGAUCUCUCUGUAUACGUAUAUACAUAUACAUAUACCAGACUGGCCUGGAACUCACUAGGUAGCACAGGCUGGCCAUGAUCUCAUGCGGUCCUCCUGCUUCAGCCUCUCAAGUGCUAGGAUUAGAGACACGACACAGCACACCCAUUGCCACCCUCAACCUUGCUUCUCCUGCACCUGUGGCUUCCCUAGUUCCGCCAUCUCCACACAAGACACGGUCUCAGCUUGAGUCGUGCUUGUCAAGACUCCGUGGCAUCAGCCUCUGUGGCACACGGCAUGGUUGGGAUAACUGGAGAGGUUGCCAGGAGGCUCACCUCUGAGGGAAGAGCUUGCUCUGCAGAUCUGCUCUGGCGAGAAGUCGCCAGCUACCCAGCAACACAACAUCACACCUCCUCUCACUGUGGAAACCAUUUCCCCGGUGAGUAAGCCGAUGAACCAUUCUUGCGAACUGCCUGAAACUUUGUGGUGACCCAAGGCUCUCCUGGUCCAUGCAGUGUAGGUGCCAGUAACAUGGUUAAAAGUCCCUCUUGGUCUUCCCAGUGUUUCAGUUUCCAAAGCCCCAGAGUGUUUAUCAAGAGAGAUGAUGUCUUAGAUCCAGGAGGCAUGUUCUUCACUGGAACCCACUUCUCUUUCAUUUGCUCUGCCAUCUGUCACCCUAUCCUUCAUGUCUGUGUCUGGCUGUGCCUGGGACCACAAUGCCACAGGAUGUGCUUGACACCCUCUAAGUAGGGAACCCCAGGAACUUCUAGAUCACUUCCCAGAGGAUUCUCCUUUGAGAAAGGUUUUAGCAAUUCUCUUCUCUCUGGGAGGCACGGGGAGUGAGAGUCCUCGUUUCUGGAUGGGAAAAGGAGGCCUAGCAAAUUUGGUAAGAAGUAGAACAUUGGGUCCAACUAGCUCCUAGCUUUGUGGCAGAUCCUCGACUUUCCUGUGAGCUACAGGUGGCAUUUCUCAAUGAGAAGCAGAAAUAAUUUUGAUCAAAAAACUAAAUUCCCUGUAGAGAGAUGUAGAAUCUCAAACUAAAAACAAGGAACACCCAAAGAAAGGAAAAUACACAAAUCUAAUCAAAAUGUCAGGGGAAAGAUGUCAAUUUCCUUUGUCCUCACCAUGAGCGCUGUCUACACACACUUCUGCCUGUUCCUCAGGGCAAGGGCACAGAGUGGCUAGCUGGCCUUUUCUUCUGCACAGCUCCUUAGGUUUUUCUCUUCUGUCUCUCACAGAGAACAUCCCUAACCAACCCGCCUGCUGCUUCUUGAUGAUCUCAUGGAAGAUCCCACAGAGAUUGUGAAUGGCUAUCAUAUGACCAGGAAGCUGGUGGCACUGAGAGGGACUCUCUCCUAGUACUUGGUUCUCUAUGACUCAUCAGGAAGGCUCCUGGGUGCUCAGACCUGAUCUAGGGCCUGCAUAGUCCCUGGGCACUGUGAAGACAGGGAGUGCCAGAAGGAAGCUGGAUUUCCAAAGACCUUGUAGAUACUCAGAGGGAAAGGACCCAGCAGCUGCCAUAACAGGCUGUCAGUCUUCUCUCAGAGAUCAGGCCUCAAUUUCAGUUUCCUGAGAAUUGAACAAGCAGUUUCUGGGAGGACCAUGAACAAAAGACAUAGUCCUUGCAGUAGCUCCCUUUCUGCAUGUACUCUGACCGCUCAAGGUUCAGCCAGUUGUUUACUGUCUGGGACCCCUCACCAACUUAGAGCUACAUGCAUGAGUCAAGGACAGAGCCUAGGCCACUGAGUCAGCCUCCAUAGUCAGUACAUGCUAGGCCAGCCAACCUCCAUGGCAGCUCAAGGAAAAAGCCUGGGACUUGUCCAGGCCUGCCCAAAAGUGGUAACUGUAACCCCCAAUUAACCCUAGCUAAUUAAAAGUUAAUAACAUGAUUGCCACUCGAAUAAACUAAUCCUGAGUCUGUUCCUAUGUAGUCUGUAGACCCCAAGCACCCUUGCUUUAAAAACCCUGCCCGAUUGCUAUUUGGAAAGUACCAAGUUAACUCAUAAUACAGAGUCUUUGCUUUUGCAUCGGGUUCGGUCUCUUGGUGGUCUUUGGGGGACUCUGGGUACAACACAGAGUAGAUCCAUGGGUCCCAAGAUUGGGGAAAUUUGGGGAACAUGAAGUCAGGCCCUGAGAUGUAUCAUAAGAGAGGGAUGCAGGGGUCACUAGGCAUCCCCUGUGGAUGGCCUUAAGGUUCCACCCUUCUCCCUUCUCUGCAGUUCCCAGGUCAAGAGAGGCUGGCAGAUCUGUGCUGAUCCUAGCCAGUACUGGGCCCAGGAAUACAUCACUGACCUGGAACUGAACUCUGGAAGGGUCUGGAGGGAGCAAGGAAGUGUAACAUCUGUGGGCCGAAUGAGGAGGAGAUGCUCGAUUCUGCAGUUCUGAAGGUCACCUCCUCUGUGGUCCCACCCUACAGCUUACCCACACUCUGGGUCCCUCCUUGACUUUAAUCUUGUCUCUUCUCAGAUACCCCCUGCGAAUCAAUGAGUGUGAUUGGCCUUCUGAGGGAGAUAUCGAACCACGCAUAUCAAGCAACACAUGACUAUUGAAUAGCUUGACUUGGUGCUACGUUUAACACACUGAAGGCGCUUUAAUAAAAUGUCAGCAAGA
Molecule: long non-coding RNA, 3980 nt
Organism: Peromyscus californicus insignis
Lineage: Eukaryota; Metazoa; Chordata; Mammalia; Rodentia; Cricetidae
Exons: 2
Source: RefSeq, a predicted model, not a curated record